Molecule: non-coding RNA, 46 nt
Organism: Schistosoma mattheei
Lineage: Eukaryota; Metazoa; Platyhelminthes; Trematoda; Strigeidida; Schistosomatidae
Source: Rfam
GUACUGUUGAGAAGUCCCACAAUAGGACGAAACGGCCGUCCAGUGC